UCAGUGGUGGUCAAGUGGCUAAGACUCUGCACUCCCAAUGCAGGGGGCCUGGGUUUGAUCCCUGGUUGGGGAA
This 73-nucleotide transfer RNA is filed under the name Bos taurus (domestic cattle). It matches the Rfam family "tRNA". Rfam says of the family: Transfer RNA (tRNA) molecules are approximately 80 nucleotides in length. Their secondary structure includes four short double-helical elements and three loops (D, anti-codon, and T loops). RNAcentral also lists the same sequence under 2 other names. The record is from Rfam by way of RNAcentral. Lineage: Eukaryota; Metazoa; Chordata; Mammalia; Artiodactyla; Bovidae.